Molecule: long non-coding RNA, 1243 nt
Organism: Folsomia candida
Lineage: Eukaryota; Metazoa; Arthropoda; Collembola; Entomobryomorpha; Isotomidae
Exons: 3
Source: RefSeq, a predicted model, not a curated record
UAAAGUCCUUCUUUGUAUUUACGGAAAAAAUAUCUGUGUUCUGAUUCAAUAAGUGCAGUGGAUUGAAAAUGGAUGGUGUGAGUGGGAUUGUCUUUGAUAUGUUGUGCUACUGCUGAAGCGAUUUUUUGCUCGGUGACAUGCUUGUUUUUGUUUCUGGUGGUCAUUUGAGAAAUGUUGGUAUACGUUAUGUUUACCUUGUCUGUUUCUGAUUUGUGUUCUUUUAUUCUAUCUAAAAGUGGUCUACAUGUUUCACCUAUAUAUAGUUUGUUACAAGAGCAAGGAAUUUUAUAUAUACCUAUCUGAGGGGUUGGUGCUGCCUGUUUGUGUGUACAUAUCAUAUUUCCUACCUUUUUACCUGGAAUAUAACCGAAAGUGCAAGAGAGAGUGCGUCUAAGAAAGUGUGAAAGUUUUGUUGUGAGGGGGCCAGAAUAUGGUAGUAUGAUACGUGCGCCUGUCUCUAAUGUUUUAGGUUCAUUUGUCUGAAACUUUUUAAUGCGUUUAUUUAUGAGAUGCAAAGGGUAGCCAUUUUGCAUGAGUUGUGAUUUUAUUAAUUGUAAUUCUUGGCUUAGGAAUUCUGGACUGCAAAUGGUAAAUGCCCUAUAUAAAAGUGAAUCAAUUACCGAAAUUUUGUGAGAUUGGUGGUGGUAAGAUGUGUAAUGCAAAUAUCUACCUGUGUGUGUACUUUUUCUGUAAACUUUGUGUUUUGUAGUACCAUCUGUGUAUCUAAUUAUGGUUAUGUCUAAAAAAUGUAAUUGAUUGUUAGUUUCUUCUUCUAACGUGAAUUGUAUCUCUGGAUGGAAAUUAUUGAACUGAUUUAAAAUGUUUGUUGUUUCGUUUUUUGUGAUGCAAGUGAAAGUAUCGUCAACGAACCUACGAUGAAAAUGUAUGAGUGGGUUAUUAUUCACUAGUGUGAGUUCUAAAUAUUGCAUGAAAAAUUCAGCAAAAACUGGUGAAAUUGGGGAACCCAUUGGUGUGCCUGUGGUUUGUUGGUAAUAUGUGCCCUUGUACUGGAAAUAAUUGGAGGAAAUGCAAAGUGUUUCGGCUGCGGCUCCGAAUUGGUUGGGACGUAGAAUGGUUCUAGUUUGGCAGGAACAGUCUCAAUGUGUCUCACUUUUUCUGGAACUACCUAUUUGUGACGGAGGAGGACAUUUCCAGUCCAAUCCUCUACCCACUUCGACUAAACUUCUCCUUUUGCUUUCUCCGGAUCCGGAAAUGCUGUGCACGAAUCAAAACUUGGCUAUUU